GAAUGUGUGCAUGAAGAUACAAUGAGCAGCCAGACGAUGGAAAUCACCUGCUUAGACUCUGUCAGGCUGGAGAACGGAUCCAGUCGGUGUUCAGGCAGGCUGGAGGUGAAGUCCAACAACUCGUGGUCCUCCGUGUGUGAAGAUGACUUUGACCUGCUGGAUGCAGAGGUGGUCUGUAGGGAGCUGGGCUGUGGGGCUCCGUCAGUCCUCCAGGGGGCGCCGUAUGCAGAAUCAGAGGCUCCAAAGUGGAACAAAGAGUUUCUCUGUCAAGGUCACGAGUCUGCUCUCCUGGACUGCAACCACGCCAGACCAGAGAGAAGCUGCUUAGCGGACAAAGUUGUUGACCUCACCUGUUUAGGUGGAGGAGGAGCCACAGCUUUAAAACUGGUGACACGUGUGAUUAUUUAUCAAUAACGUAUCUGUUUGUGCCUACAUGAAGGAAUCAUCCGCUUGGAGGGAGACGUCAGUCACUGUGCUGGAACACUGGAGAUGUUUUACGGUGGAGAAUGGGGACCAGUAGCUGAUUCUAACUGGAGCCGGGACUCCGCCUCUGCAGUGUGCGCUCAGCUGGGUUGUGGUUCUGCUCUGUCUUCUAGAAGCAAAGACAACUUUCUAAACAGAUCUGUGUGGUGGAUCCAGCCUCCGUGUGGCCUAUCACUGGAAGGCUGUAAUAUUAUGCAUGUGGUUGAUCACAGCGAAUCUACUCUUGAAAUAUUAUGUUCAGUCUCUGUUGUCGGUUUGAUGAUCCGUUGGUGUGUCGUCUCGGUGGGUUUGAUGGCGAUGAUCCUCGUCACCUGCUUCUACGCCACGGUACUGAACACACAAAUACAGGACCAGAAGUUUUUUUAAAGUGACGGUGAAUUGUUGUGUUUUAGACCGACAGAAAACCAGACGGAGAACAC
Molecule: non-coding RNA, 902 nt
Organism: Oryzias latipes (Japanese medaka)
Lineage: Eukaryota; Metazoa; Chordata; Actinopteri; Beloniformes; Adrianichthyidae
Source: RefSeq, a predicted model, not a curated record